This is a long non-coding RNA of Lutra lutra (Eurasian river otter), 656 nucleotides long. RefSeq lists it as uncharacterized. The transcript has 3 exons. The record is from RefSeq and is a predicted model, not a curated record. NCBI's taxonomy places the organism in Eukaryota, Metazoa, Chordata, Mammalia, Carnivora, Mustelidae.
UCUGGGGACAGUCUUCGCUGCCUAUGCCAGCCUGCUGUCUUCCCUCCUCCCCAGCAACCGGGAUAGGCAGAAGGCCCUCAGGGACCUGGGUGAGCCUGGCUACGGGAACGGGGACAUCCUGGACUCCCCAAGAUGUUGCGACCAGAGCGCCUCCUUCAGGCACCUCUCCGCUGGUGCUCUCCUGGGUCCCUAAGCGCUCUCUGUUUGCUUUUAGACCCCCCUGACUCUGAAGCUCAGCUCUGCCAUUGGUUUCCACAACCCAAAACAAACCACUUCACCAUGCAUCCUGUGAGUUUUAGGAUGGAAGCGGAGAGGGCAUUUUUAAGACAAGCCUAAGCUUCACGCUGUGACCGCAACACAAUGUGCUCACCUUAGAAUACUCUACCUUUGCCAUAAAUGCAUCAAAAGGUGGGGGAGCCAGCUGCCACAUAGCGAGGACGCUCAAACAGCUCUGUGGAGGGGUCCAUAUGCGAGGAACUGAGAGGCCUCCUGCCAACAACCACAGAGGCAGCCAUCUUGGAAGCUUUCAGCUCUAGGCAACCUUUCAGAUGACCCGACCCUUGACUGAUACCUUGUGAAAGACCAACCCUGGACUACUCAGCUAAGCCACUCACUAAUUCCUGACCCUCAGAAGGGGGUGAGAUAAUAAUAUUGUU